AGUGAACGCUGGCGGUAGGCCUAACACAUGCAAGUCGAACGGUAGCACAGUAAGAGCUUGCUCUUACGGGUGGCGAGUGGCGGACGGGUGAGGAAUACAUCGGAAUCUACUUUUUCGUGGGGGAUAACGUAGGGAAACUUACGCUAAUACCGCAUACGGCCUACGGGUGAAAGCAGGGGAUCUUCGGACCUUGCGCGAUUGAAUGAGCCGAUGUCGGAUUAGCUAGUUGGCGGGGUAAAGGCCCACCAAGGCGACGAUCCGUAGCUGGUCUGAGAGGAUGAUCAGCCACACUGGAACUGAGACACGGUCCAGACUCCUACGGGAGGCAGCAGUGGGGAAUAUUGGACAAUGGGCGCAAGCCUGAUCCAGCCAUACCGCGUGGGUGAAGAAGGCCUUCGGGUUGUAAAGCCCUUUUGUUGGGAAAGAAAAGCAGCAGGUUAAUACCCCGCUGUUCUGACGGUACCCAAAGAAUAAGCACCGGCUAACUUCGUG
Molecule: ribosomal RNA, 492 nt
Filed under: uncultured bacterium
Lineage: Bacteria
Description: partial 16S ribosomal RNA
Rfam family: Bacterial small subunit ribosomal RNA
Source: RNAcentral